RNAcentral lists this long non-coding RNA (960 nucleotides) under Lathyrus oleraceus (garden pea). RNAcentral's name for it is "Pisum sativum (pea) long non-coding RNA (PSAT_LNC012349)". The record is from RNAcentral. Lineage: Eukaryota; Viridiplantae; Streptophyta; Magnoliopsida; Fabales; Fabaceae.
UUGUUGUAUCUUCUCCCAAAGUUUGUUUGAAUCCUCAUUGCUACCUUCAUCCCUGUCAACUUUUCUAUAAGAUGUAUCAUGCUCUUGGGUGACAUAUGAGCUUCUCUCACUAUCUUUACUCAAGUACCUCCCCUUGUCUUCCAUGUUAAACUUCUUUCUUACGUCUUUGGCCCUAUUAAUUUUUAUCUCCUUAUUCAGACACUGAGUAUUCACCUGCUGGUUUGCUUUCCUAUUAUCCAGAUUGUCAGGGUUAGUUUCCCUAAUAACUAGAGGCACAUUGUAAUGAGGAGAAUUUUUAUUGUAAUCCCAAAUGUUCAACUUAUGGGAGAUGUUGUUAUCAUAAUUCCCUCGGCUAUUGACAUAGCCACUACCACUGCCAUAUUUCCCUUCUCAACCAUCCACUAAGGUAAUUCUUUGAUCUUCUUCUUUAAUGUUGCGAAGAUGAUUAUUUAUAAAGGUGUUUACCAUAAAUUGUAUUUGAUUAUAGGCAUGUAUGUUAUAUUGGCUAACCCUCCCCCCCUGUUUUCCAAUGGUACGCCUUCCUUCUCCCUUUAUCGACUUUUCUAUAUUUGUUGUUCAUAUUAUCGCCUCCAUAGUUGAUAUAAAGGUGUUGAUUGUAGGAAUUCUACCAGAUUUUAUCAGUACUCGCCAUUUUGUUCCUACCCUCGUUGAAGGUAAUCUCUUUGGGCUUUUUGAUUAGGUUUUCCUCCUUGUUAUUCUUAUUAUUCUGAUUAAUGCCUUUAUUCUUCUUAGUAGAAUUUUGCCGGUAAACAGUGUUAUCCAACUUGGAAAUAUUGUCUUGGACUUGAUUCUGUCUAGUGUUAUGAUUGCUACCAUUAUUCCUACUAUUGUCCGCUUUCAAGUGAUACCUUUUCAUAUUAUUAUCUUGACAUUUGUUAAUUUGUUGCUUGUGUAUAGUAUCAUGUUGAGUGUUGCUAUGAUUGUGAUUUAAUCUUGUUC